This 393-nucleotide ribosomal RNA is filed under the name uncultured bacterium. Its description in RNAcentral is "partial 16S ribosomal RNA". It matches the Rfam family "Bacterial small subunit ribosomal RNA", at positions 523 to 918 of the family's 1533-position model. The record is from RNAcentral.
AUACGGAGGAUGCGAGCGUUAUCCGGAUUUAUUGGGUUUAAAGGGAGCGUAGGUGGGAUAUUAAGUCAGCUGUGAAAGUUUGGGGCUCAACCUUAAAAUUGCAGUUGAUACUGGUUUCCUUGAGUACGGUACAGGUGGGCGGAAUUCGUGGUGUAGCGGUGUAAUGCUUAGAUAUCACGAAGAACUCCGAUCGCGAAGGCAGCUCACCGGGCCGGAACUGACACUGAUGCUCGAAAGUGCGGGUAUCAAACAGGAUUAGAUACCCUGGUAGUCCGCACAGUAAACGAUGAAUACUCGCUGUUUGCGAUACACGGUAAGCGGCCAAGCGAAAGCGUUAAGUAUUCCACCUGGGGAGUACGCCGGCAACGGUGAAACUCAAAGGAAUUGACGGGG